GAUGAAGAACGUAGCGAAAUGCGAUAAGUAAUGUGAAUUGCAGAAUUCAGUGAAUCAUCGAAUCUUUGAACGCACAUUGCGCCCGCUAGUAUUCUGGCGGGCAUGCCUGUUCGAGCGUCAUUUCAACCCUCAGGCCCCCAGUGCCUGGCGUUGGGGAUCGGCCGCUGGCGUCCUUCGGGGCGCCUGGCCGGCCCCGAAAUCUAGUGGCGGUCUCGCUGUAGUCCUCCUCUGCGUAGUAGCACAACCUCGCAGUUGGAAGUCGGCGGUGGCCAUGCCGUUAAACACCCCACUUCUGAAAGUUGACCUCGGAUCAGGUAGGAAUACCCGCUGAACUUAAGCAUAUCAAUAAGCGGAGGA
RNAcentral lists this unclassified non-coding RNA (357 nucleotides) under soil metagenome. Its description in RNAcentral is "partial contains 5.8S ribosomal RNA, internal transcribed spacer 2, and large subunit ribosomal RNA". The stretch from base 1 to 120 matches the Rfam family "5.8S ribosomal RNA", at positions 35 to 154 of the family's 154-position model. The record is from RNAcentral.